Molecule: ribosomal RNA, 495 nt
Filed under: uncultured bacterium
Lineage: Bacteria
Description: partial 16S ribosomal RNA
Rfam family: Bacterial small subunit ribosomal RNA
Source: RNAcentral
GACGAACGCUGGCGGCGUGCCUAAUACAUGCAAGUAGAACGCUGAAGGAGGAGCUUGCUUCUCCGGAUGAGUUGCGAACGGGUGAGUAACGCGUAGGUAACCUGCCUGGUAGCGGGGGAUAACUAUUGGAAACGAUAGCUAAUACCGCAUAACAGUAGAUGUUGCAUGACAUUUGCUUAAAAGGUGCAAUUGCAUCACUACCAGAUGGACCUGCGUUGUAUUAGCUAGUUGGUGAGGUAACGGCUCACCAAGGCGACGAUACAUAGCCGACCUGAGAGGGUGAUCGGCCACACUGGGACUGAGACACGGCCCAGACUCCUACGGGAGGCAGCAGUAGGGAAUCUUCGGCAAUGGACGGAAGUCUGACCGAGCAACGCCGCGUGAGUGAAGAAGGUUUUCGGAUCGUAAAGCUCUGUUGUAAGAGGAGAACGAGUGUGAGAGUGGAAAGUUCACACUGUGACGGUAUCUUACCAGAAAGGGACGGCUAACUACGUG